This 661-nucleotide long non-coding RNA is filed under the name Salmo salar (Atlantic salmon). Its description in RNAcentral is "lncRNA (ENSSSAG00000120918.1)". Lineage: Eukaryota; Metazoa; Chordata; Actinopteri; Salmoniformes; Salmonidae. The record is from RNAcentral.
CAGACGUCCGGAUCGUGGUCCGUUGGUUCCAUCCUCCAGUCCCUUAGACCCAACACCAAUGCAGUUGGGCGGGGCUGGUCCUAGGGAGACCGGAGGGGAAACGUUCCAUGCACCAGAGGUGACCGCAGAGGACACACUGCUGGUCGGUGCUGGGGAGGUUUUCCAGGUCGUCGAGGUGGUAGGCGGAACACUGGUGGUUCAUCUCAGACUGCGGAGGCCCUAUUUACCCAUGUAUUCCGGCACUACGGGGUGCCUGAGGAUAUAGUCUCUGAUCGGGGUCCCCAAUUUACGUCUAGAGUCUGGAGGGUGUUUAUGGAACGCCUGGGGGUCUCGGUCAGUCUUACCUCAGGGUUCCACCCCGAGAGUAAUGGGCAGGUGGAAAGAGUCAACCAAGAGUGUGUGCUAGGGUAUCAGCCGGUCCUCACUCGGAGGAGACAUGGAACGCUGCCCAUGUACGUCUGCAACGAGCCAUCAGGCGGCAAAAGGCGAGUGCCGACAGCCACCGCAGUGAGGCCCCGGUUUAUGCCCCGGGGGAUCGGGUCUGGCUCUCGACCCGAAACCUGCCCCUUCACCUGCCCUGCCGGAAGCUGGGUCCGCGGUUUGUGGGGCCAUUUAAAGUCCUGAGGAGAUUGAACGAGGUUUGUUAUAGGUUACAACUUCC